Molecule: transfer RNA, 73 nt
Filed under: Bos taurus (domestic cattle)
Lineage: Eukaryota; Metazoa; Chordata; Mammalia; Artiodactyla; Bovidae
Also listed under: 5 other names
Rfam family: tRNA
About the family: Transfer RNA (tRNA) molecules are approximately 80 nucleotides in length. Their secondary structure includes four short double-helical elements and three loops (D, anti-codon, and T loops).
Source: Rfam by way of RNAcentral
UCCCUGGUAGUCCAGGGGUUAAGACUCUGCAUUACCAGAGCAGGGGGCCUGGGUUCAAACCCUGGUCAGGGAC